UUUCACUUUAAAAACUUUUUA
This 21-nucleotide non-coding RNA is filed under the name Caenorhabditis elegans. The record is from RNAcentral. Lineage: Eukaryota; Metazoa; Nematoda; Chromadorea; Rhabditida; Rhabditidae.